UGGGGAAUUUUGCGCAAUGGGGGAAACCCUGACGCAGCAACGCCGCGUGAGUGAUGAAGGCCUUCGGGUCGUAAAGCUCUGUCAGAGGGGAAGAAAUGCAGGGGUGCUAAUAUCAUCUUUGCUUGACGGUACCCUCAAAGGAAGCACCGGCUAACUCCGUGCCAGCAGCCGCGGUAAUACGGAGGGUGCGAGCGUUGUCCGGAAUUAUUGGGCGUAAAGCGCGUGUAGGCGGUUUGGUAAGUCUGAUGUGAAAGCCCCGGGCUCAACCUGGGAAGUGCAUUGGAAACUGUCAGACUUGAAUACGGGAGAGGGUAGUGGAAUUCCUAGUGUAGGAGUGAAAUCCGUAGAUAUUAGGAGGAACACCGGUGGCGAAGGCGGCUACCCGGACCGAUAUUGACGCUGAGACGCGAAAGCGUGGGUAGCAAACAG
This 429-nucleotide ribosomal RNA is filed under the name uncultured bacterium. RNAcentral describes it as "bacterial SSU rRNA". It matches the Rfam family "Bacterial small subunit ribosomal RNA", at positions 355 to 775 of the family's 1533-position model. The record is from RNAcentral.